Molecule: ribosomal RNA, 260 nt
Filed under: uncultured bacterium
Lineage: Bacteria
Description: partial 16S ribosomal RNA
Rfam family: Bacterial small subunit ribosomal RNA
Source: RNAcentral
AGCGGCGGACGGGUGAGUAACGCGUGGGGAACCUGCCCUAUACAGGGGGAUAACAGUUAGAAAUGACUGCUAAUACCGCAUAAGCGCACGGAGCCGCAUGGCGCUGAGUGAAAAACGAUAGUGGUAUAGGAGGGACCCGCGUCUGAUUAGGUAGUUGGUGGGGUAACGGCCCACCAAGCCGACGAUCAGUAGCCGACCUGAGAGGGUGACCGGCCACAUUGGGACUGAGACACGGCCCAAACUCCUACGGGAGGCAGCAG